This 452-nucleotide ribosomal RNA is filed under the name uncultured bacterium. Its description in RNAcentral is "bacterial SSU rRNA". It matches the Rfam family "Bacterial small subunit ribosomal RNA", at positions 28 to 493 of the family's 1533-position model. The record is from RNAcentral.
GACGAACGCUGGCGGCGCGCCUAACACAUGCAAGUCGAACGGAGCUUAGAGAGCUUGCUUUUUAAGCUUAGUGGCGAACGGGUGAGUAACGCGUGAGUAACCUGCCCUAGAGUGGGGGACAACAGUUGGAAACGACUGCUAAUACCGCAUAAGCCCACGGUGCCGCAUGACACUGAGGGAAAAGGAUUUAUUCGCUUUAGGAUGGACUCGCGUCCAAUUAGCUAGUUGGUGAGGUAACGGCCCACCAAGGCGACGAUUGGUAGCCGGACUGAGAGGUUGAACGGCCACAUUGGGACUGAGACACGGCCCAGACUCCUACGGGAGGCAGCAGUGGGGGAUAUUGCACAAUGGGGGAAACCCUGAUGCAGCGACGCCGCGUGGAGGAAGAAGGUUUUCGGAUUGUAAACUCCUGUCGUUAGGGACGAUAAUGACGGUACCUAACAAGAAAGCAC